RNAcentral lists this ribosomal RNA (383 nucleotides) under uncultured bacterium. Its description in RNAcentral is "bacterial SSU rRNA". It matches the Rfam family "Bacterial small subunit ribosomal RNA", at positions 29 to 417 of the family's 1533-position model. The record is from RNAcentral.
AUUGAACGCUGGCGGCAUGCUUUACACAUGCAAGUCGAACGGUAGACCCUUUCGGGGGUUGAGAGUGGCGAACGGGUGAGUAAUGCAUCGGAACGUGCCUAGUCGUGGGGGAUAACGUAGCGAAAGUUACGCUAAUACCGCAUACGCACUGAGGUGGAAAGCGGGGGACCGUAAGGCCUCGCGCGAUUGGAGCGGCCGAUGUCGGAUUAGCUAGUUGGUGAGGUAAAGGCUCACCAAGGCGACGAUCCGUAGCGGGUCUGAGAGGAUGAUCCGCCACACUGGGACUGAGACACGGCCCAGACUCCUACGGGAGGCAGCAGUGGGGAAUUUUGGACAAUGGGCGCAAGCCUGAUCCAGCCAUGCCGCGUGCGGGAAGAAGGCCU